Molecule: long non-coding RNA, 439 nt
Organism: Equus caballus (horse)
Lineage: Eukaryota; Metazoa; Chordata; Mammalia; Perissodactyla; Equidae
Source: RefSeq, a predicted model, not a curated record
UUUGGCUGAGGAACAGGUGACAAGCUCACUCAUAUUAAAUGUAAUCAGUUAAGCAGCAAGUAUAAAUGAUGGUACUGAAUCUGUUCCCAUUUUGAUUGGGAGGAAGUUUAAAGCAGAAAGGCGUCUGAUUUCGAGGGAAGAGGAAAGAGUUGGUCCGCUGGUGGAGAAGGAGACCCGAAGCAGAAGAUGGACUUCACAAUCAUCCCAGCGUGGCUGGACCAACAAAAGCCAGGGAGGAGUUGCAGACAGAAAGAGGAACCAGCCCAGAAGAAGAGGUGUUCAGAUUAAAACAAUGAUGAAACAUGCAUUUUAAUAAAGGGACAUACAGUAAACCAAAGAAUAGGAGUUUGUGUUAGUUUGAUAAUUGAAAAACAACGGUCUGAAUGUACUCAAUACAACUAGUUGGUGCUACUGAAUGAAUAAAAUUAAAUACCAUGUC